This 623-nucleotide ribosomal RNA is filed under the name Diatrypella sp. HUEFS 42869. Its description in RNAcentral is "eukaryotic LSU rRNA". It matches the Rfam family "Eukaryotic large subunit ribosomal RNA", at positions 23 to 667 of the family's 3401-position model. The record is from RNAcentral. Lineage: Eukaryota; Fungi; Ascomycota; Sordariomycetes; Xylariales; Diatrypaceae.
ACCCGCUGAACUUAAGCAUAUCAAUAAGCGGAGGAAAAGAAACCAACAGGGAUUGCCUCAGUAACGGCGAGUGAAGCGGCAAUAGCUCAAAUUUGAAAUCUGGCUUCGGCCCGAGUUGUAAUUUGUAGAGGAUGCUUCGGCUUACGUACCGGUCUAAGUUCCUUGGAACAGGACGUCACAGAGGGUGAGAAUCCCGUUUGUGGCCGGCACUUCCGCCAUGUGAAGCUCCUUCGACGAGUCGAGUUGUUUGGGAAUGCAGCUCUAAAUGGGAGGUAAAUUUCUUCUAAAGCUAAAUACCGGCCAGAGACCGAUAGCGCACAAGUAGAGUGAUCGAAAGAUGAAAAGCACUUUGGAAAGAGAGUUAAAAAGUACGUGAAAUUGUUGAAAGGGAAGCGCUUGCGACCAGACUUGCCCGCGGAUGCUCAACCGGUCCUUCGGCCGGUGCACUCUUCCGCGGUCAGGCCAGCAUCAGUUCGGGCGGUCGGAUAAAGGCCUUGGGAAUGUGGCUCUCUUCGGGGAGUGUUAUAGCCCUUGGUGCAAUACGGCCCGCCUGGACUGAGGCCCGCGCUUCGGCUAGGAUGCUGGCGUAAUGGUCGUAAGCGGCCCGUCUUGAAACACGGACC